UCACUGGGGAGUGGUUUCAGUCCUACUUACAGCUGUUGGUAAAAAGGAUAAAAGCCCACGUAUCCUGAAAUAAAAUAGAUCAAUCAGUUAUCUCAUGGUCAUCUAACUAAGAGAAAGGAUUUACAGAAUUUGUAGAAAGUAAGGUAGUAACCUUUAUAAGGCUUUUUCCUUCAAAAUCAGAAAAACCUUCAACCCCUUCUAUGAAGCUGAGGAGUAAUUGGGGCGUGACAGAGAGCGAGUUGGCAGAAGCACUCAAAAGAGUGACGUCGGUUUACAUCAAUUUCCAGGGACUUAGGUCAACCUCUGCGCUUGAGGUCCACAGUGUGGAUGGCUGAUUUGGCAUUUGCUCGCUACCGCUGAAUGCUGAAACAGCGGUGGCUGCGUUAUUGCAUCCAGAUGGGGAUACACCUUGAUCUGGUCAGAAGCUGGAGUUACUGCGUGUGCCUCGAGAAGGAAAGAACACGCUUCCUGUGGUAUUUGAAUCCUUUCCAAACUGGGGCUAUUUUCUAGGCGUGUUGUGACUCUCGGCUCCAAAAACCUGAGGGCUGCGUUGUGCCGUGUUUUAUUUUCCACACAUCAUCCUAUGCUGGAUAGCAACGAAUUCUGGAGCCGCAGCCACAUCCCAAGAUCUGUAUUUGUCUUGGAGAAAUAGGGAUUCCUCCCCCCCUUCCUAUGGGCAGCAAAUCAAACCCAGCUGUGCAAUUGUAGCCAGAAUAGGCUUUGGA
This is a long non-coding RNA of Oxyura jamaicensis (ruddy duck), 725 nucleotides long. RefSeq lists it as uncharacterized. NCBI's taxonomy places the organism in Eukaryota, Metazoa, Chordata, Aves, Anseriformes, Anatidae. The record is from RefSeq and is a predicted model, not a curated record. The transcript has 3 exons.